GACGAACGCUGGCGGCGUGCUUAACACAUGCAAGUCGAACGGAAAGGCCCUGCUUUUGUGGGGUGCUCGAGUGGCGAACGGGUGAGUAACACGUGAGUAACCUGCCCUUGACUUUGGGAUAACUUCAGGAAACUGGGGCUAAUACCGGAUAGGAGCUCCUGCUGCAUGGUGGGGGUUGGAAAGUUUCGGCGGUUGGGGAUGGACUCGCGGCUUAUCAGCUUGUUGGUGGGGUAGUGGCUUACCAAGGCUUUGACGGGUAGCCGGCCUGAGAGGGUGACCGGCCACAUUGGGACUGAGAUACGGCCCAGACUCCUACGGGAGGCAGCAGUGGGGAAUAUUGCACAAUGGGCGGAAGCCUGAUGCAGCAACGCCGCGUGCGGGAUGACGGCCUUCGGGUUGUAAACCGCUUUCGCCUGUGACGAAGCGUGAGUGACGGUAAUGGGUAAAGAAGCACCGGCUAACUACGUGCCAGCAGCCGCGGUGAUACGUAGGGUGCGAGCGUUGUCCGGAUUUAUUGGGCGUAAAGGGCUCGUAGGUGGUUGAUCGCGUCGGAAGUGUAAUCUUGGGGCUUAACCCUGAGCGUGCUUUCGAUACGGGUUGACUUGAGGAAAGGUAGGGGAGAAUGGAAUUCCUGGUGGAGCGGUGGAAUGCGCAGAUAUCAGGAGGAACACCAGUGGCGAAGGCGGUUCUCUGGGCCUUUCCUGACGCUGAGGAGCGAAAGCGUGGGGAGCGAACAGGCUUAGAUACCCUGGUAGUCCACGCUGUAAACGGUGGGUACUAGGUGUGGGGUCCGUUCCACGGGUUCCGUGCCGUAGCUAACGCUUUAAGUACCCCGCCUGGGGAGUACGGCCGCAAGGCUAAAACUCAAAGGAAUUGACGGGGCCCCGCACAAGCGGCGGAGCAUGCGGAUUAAUUCGAUGCAACGCGUAGAACCUUACCUGGGUUUGACAUGGAUCGGGAGUGCUCAGAGAUGGGUGUGCCUCUUUUGGGGUCGGUUCACAGGUGGUGCAUGGCUGUCGUCAGCUCGUGUCGUGAGAUGUUGGGUUAAGUCCCGCAACGAGCGCAACCCUUGUUCACUGUUGCCAGCACGUUAUGGUGGGGACUCAGUGGAGACCGCCGGGGUCAACUCGGAGGAAGGUGGGGAUGACGUCAAGUCAUCAUGCCCCUUAUGUCCAGGGCUUCACGCAUGCUACAAUGGCUGGUACAGAGAGUGGCGAGCCUGUGAGGGUGAGCGAAUCUCGGAAAGCCGGUCUCAGUUCGGAUUGGGGUCUGCAACUCGACCUCAUGAAGUCGGAGUCGCUAGUAAUCGCAGAUCAGCAACGCUGCGGUGAAUACGUUCCCGGGGCU
This 1347-nucleotide ribosomal RNA is filed under the name uncultured bacterium. RNAcentral describes it as "partial 16S ribosomal RNA". It matches the Rfam family "Bacterial small subunit ribosomal RNA", at positions 28 to 1381 of the family's 1533-position model. The record is from RNAcentral.